Molecule: ribosomal RNA, 254 nt
Filed under: uncultured bacterium
Lineage: Bacteria
Description: partial 16S ribosomal RNA
Rfam family: Bacterial small subunit ribosomal RNA
Source: RNAcentral
UACGUAGGGUGCGAGCGUUGUCCGGAAUUAUUGGGCGUAAAGAGCUCGUAGGCGGUCUGUCGCGUCGAUCGUGAAAACUUGGGGCUUAACCCUGAGCUUGCGGUCGAUACGGGCAUGACUGGAGUUCGGCAGGGGAGACUGGAAUCCCUGGUGUAGCGGUGAAAUGCGCAGAUAUCAGGAGGAACACCGGUGGCGAAGGCGGGUCUCUGGGCCUGAACUGACGCUGAGGAGCGAAAGCCAGGGGAGCAAACGGG